Molecule: ribosomal RNA, 484 nt
Filed under: uncultured bacterium
Lineage: Bacteria
Description: partial 16S ribosomal RNA
Rfam family: Bacterial small subunit ribosomal RNA
Source: RNAcentral
AUUGAACGCUGGCGGCAUGCUUUACACAUGCAAGUCGAACGGCAGCGCGGGCUUCGGCCUGGCGGCGAGUGGCGAACGGGUGAGUAAUACAUCGGAACGUGCCCAGUAGUGGGGGAUAGCUCGGCGAAAGCCGGAUUAAUACCGCAUACGACCUGAGGGUGAAAGCGGGGGAUCUUCGGACCUCGCGCUAUUGGAGCGGCCGAUGGCAGAUUAGCUAGUUGGUGGGGUAAAGGCCUACCAAGGCGACGAUCUGUAGCUGGUCUGAGAGGACGACCAGCCACACUGGGACUGAGACACGGCCCAGACUCCUACGGGAGGCAGCAGUGGGGAAUUUUGGACAAUGGGCGAAAGCCUGAUCCAGCAAUGCCGCGUGUGUGAUGAAGGCCUUCGGGUUGUAAAGCACUUUUGGCGGGAACGAAAAGGACUGUGCCAAUACCACGGUUCGAUGACGGUAUCCGCAGAAUAAGCACCGGCUAACUACGUG